ACCCAACAAACAUAAUCACUAUUAUGAGAUUUGGCUUCUUACUUUUUUUCUCCACUUCUUUAUUUUCUGAUCUCUUCUCUUGCUUUUGUCACUCUGGAGCUCCACAUUCUUCUCCAGGAUCCUCGCUCCAGCCUGCAUCUUCUUCCAGAACUUUCAUUAUCUCUCCUUUCUCUUGCUGUAAUUUUCCAUUUUGCUCAUUCUGCCUUCUCUCACAACUCAUAAACCCAAUCAUGUGUUAAAUUAAAUCCUUCUAACCCAUCUCAAAUCCAUUUCUCAAACAUUCCCCUACAAGCUCCUUGGUAAUAGCUCUUCUCCAAGAAACGAAUAUCCACUUUUCCUCUACCUAUCAACACAUUAUCAAACCUUUUCCUUCUCUCAAAAUGUUCUCAUGUCCCUCAUUCUCACUCUUCUUCACUUCCUUUGUCCUGAUCUCCGCCUCCAUCCCCAGCAGCAUUUCAUUCCCACUCUCUCCCUCUCUUAGGCUCAGGCGCUCUCCUUUCCUCUUUCACAUUUACCCCUUCAGGGUCAACAACGUUCUGCUUGGUCCUAAUUUCUCCUGGUUGACUUGCAGGACUUCCCCUAUCUGCUUCUCUUUCCUUCUUUAGCUUCAAUCCUUCAUCUGCCUCCAUCACUGGGUUCUUCAUCUAUAACCUCUUUCUCCUCCAUAGAAACAGAUUCAUCAGUAAUAGCAUUCGCCCCACUCAAGACAUCUUCCUCACCUGCUACCCCUUUCUCAGUCCCUUCCAGCUCUUCAUCACUCCCUUCCACUCUUCCAAAAGGAAUUUCCAUCUCAGCAUCAGUAACUUCUAACAAUCUUUCACCACCAGUAACUUCUACCAUUCUUUCAACAUUCUCUUCAUUUAUGCUUUCCAUUCUUGAACCCUCCAACUUCUCUCCACUAGUCUCCAGCUCCUCUCCACUGGUGCCCAGCUUCUCCCCACUGGAUCCCAGUUUCUCUGCACUUGACUGCAGUUUAUCUCCAGUGGAUCUCAAAUCCUCUCCACUGGUCCCCAGCUUCUCUCUACUUGACCCCAGCUUCUCUUUACUCGACCUCAGCUUCUCUGCACUCAACCUCGGUUUCUCUUCACUCAGCUUCUCUGCACUGGACCUCAGCUUCUCUCCACUUGCCCUCAGCUUUUGUCCACUUGACCUCAGUUUCUCUCCACUCAGCUUCUCUGCACUCGACCUCAGUUUCUCUCCACUCGACCUCCGCUCCUCCUCAUUCUGCCCUGGUUUAUAUCCUCUGGCUCUCAAGUCCUCUCCACUGGUCCCUACCCCAGUAAACUUCAAACUCUCUUUCAACCCAGACCCCCUCCCAGCCUCUGCUGUAGUCUCUGCCCUCUCUGAUUCAGCCCCUAUUUGGCGUCUGACUUGCUGCUUUCCCCACACCUCCUUUGGGCUGUCUUUCCCCAAACCUUCUGAACCCUGUAAUGCAUUUGCUACACUGUGCAGCAGCUUCACAUCCAUCCCUUCCCGACUCCGGCCUGACUUCCCUUUCAACACCGUCUUUUCCACAUCUUCCAGUCUCCAGGACUCAGACUCAAGCUUCUGGUCCCAGAUCCUAGGCUUUUGCGUGUUUCUACCCAGGAGCUCCAUUUUCUUCCCGAUCACAAUGAGCCCGUUCCAGGGCACCCAUAGUUUUUCUCGCAGCAGCUGUGUCCCUCUGCUUGCCGGCUCCAGUUGCGGCCACCCGCGGACCCCGGCCUGGCCUUGGGCGCCCUGGCCGCGGGCUUUGCGGCGCCCCCUUACCCCCCUGCGCCGGUGACCCCGCCGCUCCCUCAUGCCGCAGAGCGGAAGUCCAAACGGAACCCCUUUCUCCACAGAUAUUACCCCCUGCCCUCGCCCCUAAUCCACCACCCCACCCCC
This is a long non-coding RNA of Equus asinus (donkey), 1866 nucleotides long. The record is from Ensembl. Lineage: Eukaryota; Metazoa; Chordata; Mammalia; Perissodactyla; Equidae.